GCAGAAACUUGCCCACCACUUGCAGAUCAUGCAAGAGGCUGAAAGUGAUGUUAAAGUGAAAAGGGAAGCAGUUCUCAGGGCACUUUGCCUCUACCUUGGUGAAGAGGACGGAAGCCUUAUUCGGGAGUUCUUUGACAUUGAAGGAGAUGAUAUCCAGAGAGACCUGAAGAAGCACACCAUGGGCAUUUAUGUCAUCAACAGGGAGGAUGGACAAAAUGGACAUUAU
Non-coding RNA from Maylandia zebra (zebra mbuna), 226 nucleotides. NCBI's taxonomy places the organism in Eukaryota, Metazoa, Chordata, Actinopteri, Cichliformes, Cichlidae. The record is from RefSeq and is a predicted model, not a curated record.